GCGUCCGUAGCUCAGCUGGAUAGAGCACCAGACUACGAAUCUGGGGGUCGGGAGUUCGAAUCUUCCCGGACGCGCCA
This 77-nucleotide transfer RNA is filed under the name Paracoccaceae bacterium. RNAcentral describes it as "Rhodobacteraceae bacterium tRNA-Arg". It matches the Rfam family "tRNA". Rfam says of the family: Transfer RNA (tRNA) molecules are approximately 80 nucleotides in length. Their secondary structure includes four short double-helical elements and three loops (D, anti-codon, and T loops). Further hydrogen bonds mediate the characteristic L-shaped molecular structure. tRNAs have two regions of fundamental functional importance: the anti-codon, which is responsible for specific mRNA codon recognition, and the 3' end, to which the tRNAs corresponding amino acid is attached (by aminoacyl-tRNA synthetases). tRNAs cope with the degeneracy of the genetic code in two manners: having more than one tRNA (with a specific anti-codon) for a particular amino acid; and 'wobble' base-pairing, i.e. permitting non-standard base-pairing at the 3rd anti-codon position. The record is from RNAcentral. Lineage: Bacteria; Pseudomonadati; Pseudomonadota; Alphaproteobacteria; Rhodobacterales; Paracoccaceae.